Molecule: ribosomal RNA, 372 nt
Filed under: uncultured organism
Description: partial 16S ribosomal RNA
Rfam family: Bacterial small subunit ribosomal RNA
Source: RNAcentral
GGAGGGUGCAAGCGUUGUUCGGAAUUACUGGGCGUAAAGGGCGUGUAGGCGGUUAGGCAAGUCAGGUGUGAAAUCCCUUGGGCUCAACCAAGGAAGUGCGCUUGAAACUGCUUAACUAGAGUACAGGAGGGGAAGGUGGAAUUCCCAGUGUAGAGGUGAAAUUCAUAGAUAUUGGGAGGAACACCGGUAGCGAAGGCGGCUUUCUGGCCUGAUACUGACGCUGAGACGCGAAAGCGUGGGGAGCAAACAGGAUUAGAUACCCUGGUAGUCCACGCUGUAAACGAUGUGCACUAGGUGUAGGAAGUGUUGACCCUUUCUGUGCCGAAGCUAACGCAUUAAGUGCACCGCCUGGGGAGUACGGUCGCAAGGCUA